AUGGCCUAGCUAAAAACUUCUUCCGCCAUAUUAUCAAGGAUAGUAAUUUGGUCUGAGCUGAAAAUUGAUUUAAACAUUUUAAAUAGCGACAACAAUCUCUGAAUAGGCCUGUAGAGCACAAGUUCAAUUGGCCUAGAGUUGGUGAUUGCGUAAGAGGAGGAUUCCCUCUCCAAGUGUGAGCGAUGGCGUCGAUGUCGGCCUGUGGAACGGCGUCGUUGCGGCUGACAGUGCUGGAAGAGGACUCUGCAUCGGAGGUGCUGUUCGUCGGGAUCAGCUUAGUGUUGGGGAUUGCGUGUAGGCAGGCCCUCGGAGGGACGCGUGUGCCCUACACUGUCGCUUUACUUGUUCUCGGCAUUGCCCGCCUUAGAAUAUGGAACACACCAUAGGUUGGGAAAGAUUGGCGAUGGGAUCCGUCUUUGUAAGUGAAUAUUCUCUGAACUAUCAUUAAAGCCUCUAAAUAUGCCUGCACCAAAACGAAAAAAAGAUAUUUAUUGCAGGUUUUGUUAAAACAUAUUUUAUGAACAUUAUAAUCUGUCAGCUAUAUACGAAAAGUUUCUUGUGCUCCUUGUGUAGGGGCUAAUAUUCAUCCUGAACUUCUCUUGGUUGUGUUCCUUCCUGCACUUCUCUUUGAGAGUUCAUUUUCAAUGGAAGUGCACCAGAUAAAGGUCUGCAGAAAUUCUUCCUUAUUUUGUAUCUUUGCAUUUCUUUAAUAAUUCAACAAUUUACUAGUCUCUUGAUACAUAACUCUGCCUCCCUAACAUUGCAUCUAUAUCUGGAUGUUUUCACAAUGUUAUUAUUAUCUGCCAUAAACCGAUAAACCGCCGUAUGCCAUUGUCAACAUUGUGAAUGUUAUAAGUAUUCCUUCUCUACCGUAUUUGGUAAUGUGAAAAGAAUCAGCCAGAUAAAUGAUA
Salvia splendens (bonfire salvia) is the source of this 911-nucleotide long non-coding RNA. RefSeq lists it as uncharacterized. The record is from RefSeq and is a predicted model, not a curated record. The transcript has 2 exons. NCBI's taxonomy places the organism in Eukaryota, Viridiplantae, Streptophyta, Magnoliopsida, Lamiales, Lamiaceae.